UCACUCACAGAGCAGAUUUAGCCUCAGCCAUGGUUACCAGCCUGUUCAUGCAUUUAGCAGUGGUACAUCUAAUCUGUGCAAGAAAACAUCCACAAUUUAAUUAGAAAAUACAGUAAAUUGGUUUUGACUGAUACAGCAUGAGGUGAAUGACUAAGUGAAAGCGAUUUAUAUGUAAGGCCGGUGUUUCUUCCAUGAUUUGACGAUAAGAUGCAACUGUGUAACUGUCUGCUUCUAUUUGACUACUGUCUCCUACACUACAUGUUGUGACUUACAGUGUAGGAUCUUAAUUUGAGGAAAUUUGCUACAGCAAUAAAAUUGUCCUGCAGCAACAAGAAAUGUGAAUUAUUAUGUGGAAUAUAAUUAAUGUAUAUUUUUGUAGGUGUUGAUAAAUUUUUCGUCAGGGAAAAUCAAUUCUGAAAUUUUGAAAGUGGAAAUUAAAACUUUAGAACCUUUUUUAAAGCUAAAAUACACUACAAGUUUUCAGCAACAAAAGAGUGAUCUAAUGAAGAUAGUACAUCUGUAAGGUCCAUGUGCUAAUGGAUCAUUCCUAUUUAUUUUUAUCUUGUCAAGGCUUGAGAUUGUCAAGGCCAAACAAGGAAAUUAAUCCUUCUAGUUGAAAUCGGAUAUCAGCUUAUUUUCUCGUUUAUGGUGUCCAAAUUCGUCAUCGAGUAACAGAAAACAAAUAACAACAUUUAUCCAAUUUUUCAUUUAAUUCAUACCUGGAAGUACACGCUGCCUAAUAUAAUAUUCACAGUGCAUAGCAGGUGUUUGCUUAGUCUGGGUUGAGCUGCAGUGUCGGCAGCAGAGUGCUGGGGACGAACAAAAUCUGAAUACAAGCUUUGGGUGGAUAGGCAAUGGCAUGGCAAGAGAGAUUGGGGUUGUUUGGGAGGGAGUUUAUCCUCUCAGUGGUUCUUCCUGCUAUUCUACCUUGGUUUCUCCCUCAGCCUGUGAUAUAUCUAGGGUUGCUUGAGAGGCUAAGAGCUGUUGAGGAAGGAGUAGAUUCAGUUGUAAGUGAACAUUUAAGAACACAGUACUAUGCUUUCUUGAAUAUAUUCACAGAUGGAUCUAAGGACCCUAAAACAGGGAGGACAGGUGCAGCUUGUAGUGUUCCUGAGUUUAAGGUGGCAGUGACAAAAAGAGCCACGGAUCAUUUAUCUGUUUACACAUUGGAGUUGUUGGCCAUACUAUUGGCUGCAGAGUGGGUGGAGGAGGUGAGGCCAGACAGGGUAGUCAUCUGCUCUGACUCCUGUGCAGCACUGAUGAGCAUAAAUUAAUUUGUGUCUCAGAGCAGACAGGAUGUGUUGUAUGAGGUUUUGCAGUGCUUGUAUAGGGUGAGACAGAUCGUGGUAUUUGUGAUGUUCCUCUGGGUACCAGCUCAUAUGGGAGUAGAGGGGAAUGAGGAGGUGGAUGUUAUCACUAAGUAGGCUCUUAAAGAUCCUAAUGUUGAGAUGGAAUUGUCAAUCAGUAAAGCAGAAGCCAAAAGGUUAAUAAGAACAGUGGUUAAAAACAAAUGGCAAGAGUUGUGGAAUCAGGGAGAGAAAGGGAAGACCCCUGUAUAAGAUCCAGGAACAGGGAGAGAAAGGGAGGACACCUGUAUAAGAUCCAGGAACAGGGAGAGUAAGGGAAGACCCCUGUAUAAGAUCCAGGAACAGGGAGAGAAAGGGAAGACCCCUGUAUAAGAUCCAGGAACAGAGAGAGAAAGGGAAGACACCUGUAUAAGAUCCAGGAACAGGGAGAGAAAGGGAAGACCCCUGUAUAAGAUCCAGGAACAGGGAGAGAAAGGGGAAGACCCCUGUAUAAGAUCCAGGAACAGGGAGAGAAAGGGAAGACACCUGUAUAAGAUCCAGGAACAGGGAGAGAAAGGGAAGACACCUGUAUAAGAUCCAGGAACAGGGAGAGAAAGGGAAGACACCUGUAUAAGAUCCAGGAACAGGGAGAGUAAGGGAAGACCCCUGUAUAAGAUCCAGGAACAGGGAGAGAAAGGGAGGACACCUGUAUAAGAUCCAGGAACAGGGAGAGAAAGGGAGGACACCUGUAUAAGAUCCAGGAACAGGGAGAGAAAGGGAAGACACCUGUAUAAGAUCCAGGAACAGGGAGAGUAAGGGAAGACCCCUGUAUAAGAUCCAGGAACAGGGAGAGAAAGGGAGGACACCUGUAUAAGAUCCAGGAACAGGGAGAGAAAGGGAGGACACCUGUAUAAGAUCCAGGAACAGGGAGAGAAAGGGAGGACACCUGUAUAAGAUCCAGGAACAGGGAGAGAAAGGGAGGACACCUGUAUAAGAUCCAGGAACAGGGAGAGAAAGGGAGGACACCUGUAUAAGAUCCAGGAACAGGGAGAGUAAGGGAAGACCCCUGUAUAAGAUCCAGGAACAGGGAGAGAAAGGGAAGACCCCUGUAUAAGAUCCAGGAACAGGGAGAGAAAGGGAGGACACCUGUAUAAGAUCCAGGAACAGGGAGAGUAAGGGAAGACCCCUGUAUAAGAUCCAGGAACAGGGAGAGAAAGGGAAGAUACCUGUAUAAGAUCCAGGAACAGGGAGAGUAAGGGAAGACCCCUGUAUAAGACCCAGGAACAGGGAGAGAAAGGGGAAGACCCCUGUAUAAGAUCCAGGAACAGGGAGAGUAAGGGAAGACCCCUGUAUAAGAUCCAGGAACAUGGAGAGAAAGGGAAGACACCUGUAUAAGAUCCAGGAACAGGGAGAGUAAGGGAAGACCCCUGUAUAAGAUCCAGGAACAGGGAGAGAAAGGGAAGAUACCUGUAUAAGAUCCAGGAACAGGGAGAGUAAGGGAAGACCCCUGUAUAAGAUCCAGGAACAGGGAGAGUAAGGGAAGACCCCUGUAUAAGAUCCAGGAACAGGGAGAGUAAGGGAAGACCCCUGUAUAAGAUCCAGGAACAGGGAGAGAAAGGGAAGACACCUGUAUAAGAUCCAGGACAAGGUGUGGACAGGUAGGUCCUCAGGCCGAGAGAGAAGGGAGGAAAGUAUAGUCACAAGGCUGAGACUGGGACACACAAGGCUAAAUAGUACAUUGAAAUUCGCAGGGAAACAUUCGACUGGGGUGUGUGAUCAUUGUCAGGAGGAGAUGGAGACAGUUGAACAUGUUCAGUUUCAGUGCAAGGAAUAUGUGAGGGAAAGGGAGUGAUUGUUAUUAGAUUUGAGGUAUAACAGGGUUAAGUGAACUGGGGAACUCUUCAGGGGCUGUAGUAUUUAAUUUCCUUAGGGAGAUGAGAUUAUUGGGUAUGAUUUAGACCUUCACUGUCUCUGGUCCACACUCCAGUCAAUUGGGUGGCGCUAAUGCACCUGAAAGUUUGUUGCCAACCGCCAUAUAAAAUCCACAGAAGAAGAAGCAGGAGUAGAGCGCUCGUCAAAGGAGUCAGCUCAAGGGUGACGACGGAUGUUGAAUACAUGAAGAGAAUUCCUGGUGUGGUUGGUGCCCGGUGUCUGACCUGCUGGGUGAAUGGGGAAAAAGAAGGAAGUCUGUCGGUCCUGUUGUUUUUUUGAUAAAGAGCAAAUACCUACGCAUGUGAAGCUUGAUUAUGUAAGAUACGCCGUAAGAACUUUCGUCCAAAAACCACUGUGGUGUAAGAAUUGUAAAGGAUUUGGCCAUGUUUCAAGUGUGUGCAGACGAACAGAGUAUAGUGAAGAACGGUGUGUAGAAGGAGAACGGUGUUGCAAUUGUGGUAGGGAUCAUGUUCCUGGAGUGCCCUGUAAGGGUGAAGGAAAUUGAGGUGGCAAAUGUUAAAACUCUGAGAUAUGUGGGAUGCUAGCGUCCCACCUCAACAACAGCCAGUGAAAUUGCAGGGCGCCAAAUUCAAAACAACAGAAAUACCAUAAUUAAAAUCAAACAUACAAGUAUUAUACACCAUUUUAAAGAUAAACUUUUUGUAAAUCCAACCACAGUGUCCAAUUUCAAAUAGGCUUUACGGCGAAAACACACCAAACGAUUAUGUUAGGUCAGCACCUAGUCACAGAAAACCAUACAGCCAUUUUCCAGCCAAGGAGAGGGCUCACAAAAGUCAGAAAUAGCGAUUAAAUGAAUCACUAACCUUUGAUGAUCUUCAUCAGAUGGCACUCACAGGACUUCAUGUUACACAAUACAUGUGUGUUUUGUUUAAUAAAGUUAAUCUUUAUGUCCAAAAACCUCAUUUGAAAUUGGUGUGUUAUGUUCAGAAAUGCAUUGUCUCAAACAAACAUCUGGUGAAAGUGCAGAGAGCCACAUCAAAUUACAGAAAUACUCAAAAUGAACAUUGAUAAAAGAUACAAGUGUUAUGCAUGGAAUUAUAGAUAAACUUCUCCUUAAUGCAACCGCUGUGUCAGAUUUCAAAUAGGCUUUACGGCGAAAGCACACCUUGCGAUUAUUUUAGGUCAGCACCUAGCCACAGAAAAACAUACAGCCAUUUUCCAAAGAAGGAGAGGUGUCACAAAAGUCAGAAAUAGCGUUAUAAAUAUUCACUUACCUUUGAUGAUCUUCAUCGGAAUGCACUCCCAGGAAUCCCAGUUCCACAAUAAAUGUUUGUUUUGUUCAAUAAAGUCCAUCAUUUAUGUCCAAAUACCUCCUUUUUGUUCGUGCAUUUAGCCCAGUAAUCCAAAUGCUCAAUGCACGAUCGCUUAGUUCAGACAAAGUUAAAAAAGUUAUAUAACAGUUCGUAGAAACAUGUCAAACGAUGUAUAGAAUCAAUCUUUAGGAUGUUUUUAUCAUAAAUCUUCAAUAAUGUUUCAACCGGACAAUUCCUCUGUCUUUAGAAAGGAAAAGGAACGCAGCUAACUCUCACGGGCGGGCGCCUGACUGAGCUCAUGGCAUUCUGCCAGACACCUGACUCAAACAGCUCUUAUUCUCUCCCCCGUCACAGUAGAAGCCUGAAACAAGGUUCUAAAGACUCUUGACAUCUAGUGGAAGCCUUAGGAAGUGCAAUAGGACCCCAUAGACACUGUAUAUUCGAUAGGCAAUGACUUGAAAAACUACAAACCUCAGAUUUCCCACUUCCUGGUUGGAUUUCUUCUCAGGUUUUUGCCUGCCAUAUGAGUUCAGUUAUACUCACAGACAUCAUUCAAACAGUUUUAGAAACUUCUGAGUGUUUUCUAUCAAAAUCUACUAAUUAUAUGCAUAUUCUAGCUUUUGGGCCUGAGUAGCAGGCAGUUUACUCUGGGCACCUUAUUAUCCAAGCUACUCAAUACUGGCCCCCCAGUCCCAACGAAGUUAAAGCAGUCAAAUCGCUUAUGCGGAGGCGAUUAAAAUAAUUGAGAAACAAGUGAUGCUAGUGAAGAUAUAGUAGUGGAUACACCACAGCCUGAAGUAAAUGUUUGCUGCCAGACAGAAUAAAACCUGUGUGUCUUUAAAAAGGAGAUUUUUUUUGGCAUUCAUUGUCACAGUUAGAAACUGUAGAGCACAAGUCAUAAAGAACUCAAAAAAACUGGACAUUAUUGUGGCUGUGGCAGAAAAGUUUUUGGGACUCAAGGAUUUUACAUUGAAGACUUGCAAGAGGUACUGGCGCGGGAAGACCUGCCCUGGUACUGGCGCGGGAAGACCUGUUCCCCUUGAGCCUGUGUAGGGAUCAGAUCUGUUUCAUUAAUUUAUUUUUAACAGAAAAGUUGUUAUAUUUUAUUAUUUGGGGGGGGAAUCCUGUUUCCAUCCCGUGUAGUUGGUGUCGGGAUUGCACAUUAAAUUGUGUGGUCGCCAAAAUGCCGUAGAAGACGUUUCGGGCAGGACAGAGAAAGGAUUAAACAAUUUUGUGACAGCCAGGAAGAUACAACUUGGAAUGGUAGCUAAGAUGCUUAACUUAUCAUGAAGUUAGCAUGCCAAUAGGAUGAACUCCACAACAACUGAACAUAGUUGGCUUGCACCACCUGGAUAGCUAGCGUUAGCCGGCUAACGUUACUGCUGACUAGUAGCAGGCUGGCUAGCUAGCCCUACCUGGCUACUGGCUAUAGUCAUGCUCGCUAGUAGUAGCUAGUGGAAGUAAGUUAGUCUCUCGACCAGCUACAAGAUGAAACUGCCCGGCCAGAGGUACCUGCUGCAGAAAGGUGAGAUUUCUACAGUACUUUCUGUAGCUAAUUUAGCUAGAUAGUCUGUCUGGCUGGUGCUUAUUGACUGAGUAGACUAAUAAUGAACUGCAGUUAUUGUGAAUGGUUACCCAUCUGGCCCUUUGCAUAGCUAUUUCUUACACAUUCAAUACAACUAUAUCCAGUUAGCUACAGUCAAUGCUGAUAAUGUGUGUGUAUAUGUGUGUGGUGGGGGGGGCCUGCAAAAGGACAGACGGCAUCUGAGCAGAUCAUCAACUUCAUCCAGUUACAUCAGCCAAUACAGUAAAUUACAAUCGGGGUCUGCCCUGACAGUCCUGACGAACGACAGAGAGGACUACAUCUUCACCACGGCAAACAGAUCCCUCUGUCCAGACCUUCAGUUCUGUUACCGGUACAAGAAAUUCACGACCUACUUCCAUCAACUGUUCAGUCGUCUAGAGUGUUGGGCAGUCAGCUAUCGGGAGGAUCUGCCAACCUGAGGGAGUGACACCAAUAAGGCAGCAUGCAAAACCUUCAGGGUAAAAUCCUCCAGAGGCCAAAAGUGUUAAAUCUCCCUGCGCCUGGAGGCUUUCUGAGGCACGGAUGACUGACGUUGUCCUUGGCCGCUGGGAAACGUUCCAGCACUCACAUCUUCUGGCCCAGGAUAGUAGCAUCAACCCAUCUGACAUCGAGCAGGUGUGGGGAGAAGCAGUACAGGGUGAAGGGCACCACACCAGGCCAGACCUAUACUGUGGACAUGCAUUUGUCCAGUAGGGCUCACGGGAGCUCCAUGCAGACACCAGGCUGCUGUGGUCCAGAUAUACAAAUGCCUGUCCAGCAACUUCCUCCUGACAACAUUAGAGAUGGGGGAUGAGUUGCUGAAGACAACAGGAGAUGGAUACCCUUUCACUACCCGUGGUGUGGGAAAAGGAUACAUCAACACCCUGGAAAGAUGUUUGGGGUGCACUCACUCAUAACAUGUUUUUGAGUGAUUAAUGAGUAUCAUCUUCAAGGUUGAUAAGAAGCCAUCAGUUACAAGUCAAAAAUACAGAUUAAGGCCUUCAAUCAAACUGAGGACAGAGAAAUAUGUGUGCACCGGGUCAAGGUUUCUUGCAUGCAUCACUUUUAGAUGCUGAAAACAAGUGGUUAAAUGCCUGAGGAAGAUGUGACUCUGCACAUGGGAAUAUCUUUGGUUUGUCUCUGACAUUCAGAAGCUGAGUUUCAGUGAGAAGCAUAGCAACAUCAAAGCAGUGAGAAGCAUAGCAACAUCAAAGCAGUGAGAAGCAUAGCAACAUCAAGUGCAUGUAUUAAAAAAUCUUUGGACGACGGACUUCCACUUCCACAUCUACAAAGUUCACUCAAAAAGGCAAUUGUUCUGAACCAAGUUAGAUUUUUAGUUUUAAUUCACAUUCACAUCUCUUUUAAACUUCAAUUGGUUAAUGGCUAAUUGCUCAGUUAUCACUUGGCUCAUGUAAAUUCUGUAGUUUCCCCAGGUCAACAUCCUCAUAGUGUUCACAUUUUUCUCAUGUAAAAGUUGUUGCUACAUGAGAAUUAAAUAAACCAUUUAUUUGGGAAA
Salvelinus fontinalis (brook trout) is the source of this 7572-nucleotide long non-coding RNA. RefSeq lists it as uncharacterized. The record is from RefSeq and is a predicted model, not a curated record. The transcript is spliced from 8 exons. NCBI's taxonomy places the organism in Eukaryota, Metazoa, Chordata, Actinopteri, Salmoniformes, Salmonidae.